UACGAAGGGGGCUAGCGUUGCUCGGAAUCACUGGGCGUAAAGGGCGCGUAGGCGGAUCUUUAGGUCGGGGGUGAAAGCCCAGGGCUCAACCCUGGAAUUGCCUUCGAUACUGAGGAUCUCGAGACCGGAAGAGGUAAGUGGAACUGCGAGUGUAGAGGUGAAAUUCGUAGAUAUUCGCAAGAACACCAGUGGCGAAGGCGGCUUACUGGUCCGGUUCUGACGCUGAGGCGCGAAAGCGUGGGGAGCAAACAGG
This 253-nucleotide ribosomal RNA is filed under the name uncultured bacterium. RNAcentral describes it as "partial 16S ribosomal RNA". It matches the Rfam family "Bacterial small subunit ribosomal RNA", at positions 524 to 776 of the family's 1533-position model. The record is from RNAcentral.